AAGUUUUCCUGAAAUUUCAAGAAGUAUUUCAGAUCUCUAUCUUGAUGGAACUGCGAUUGAAGAAGUUCCUUGGUGGAUAGAGAACAUCUCUGGGCUCUCUUACCUAUCGAUGAAUGGUUGCAACAAGUUAAGGAAGAUCUCCCCAAACAUAUCUAAACUGAAACAUCUCGUGGAGGUAGACUUUUCAGAAUGCAAAGCACUUACUGAAGAUAGCUGGCAAAAUUAUCAUGGGGAGAUCUCUACUUCUCUUAUGAAAGUAAACCUGUCUGGUAACAGUUUUGAGAGACUUCCCGACACAUGGACUUCCAUUCAACCAAAAGAUCUUGACCUCGGUAAUUGUAUAAAUAUCGUGU
RNAcentral lists this long non-coding RNA (353 nucleotides) under Eutrema salsugineum. RNAcentral's name for it is "long non-coding RNA (ESAL_LNC001044)". Lineage: Eukaryota; Viridiplantae; Streptophyta; Magnoliopsida; Brassicales; Brassicaceae. The record is from RNAcentral.